CAUUCAUCAAUCAGGGAUGAUGCUUCUGGAACAUUUUUUGCACAAAGGAGCCUGGUGAUGGAUUCUGAGGAGGAUCUGGGGGCAGCUGAAAUUCCCUGAGGGAGUGGGUGGAUGAAAGUGUCUCUUGGAAGCACCAGCCACUGGAGGAGGCACCCUGGGCUUUCCUCCUCCAAAUCUAGAGCAACUCCCAGGCCAAGCAUUUGCACCUUAGAACCUGAGAUCUUCCUAGGCAUUUGCAAAACAAAGCCUCCUCUGCAAGCCACACUCAGAGAUUCUUGCCUGAGCCUCUGCCUCCUCUGUUCCACUUGCACCUCGGAUGCCCCAGAACCAUUGCAGCAAUCACCCAGAUGCAAACCUGAGACUGACUAUGAGACAUAGCCGAAGAGUAUGAGACUGGGAGCUCCUCAGAGAAGUCUUGCCCUUGGAAGGACUGCCUAGCACACUGUGUCACUGCAAGUGUUCAGUACACAUUUGUUGAAAUACAAAUAAAAUUAAAUAAAACAAACAGGAUUUUCCUAGGUAAGGACCUGCUAGGAUAUCCUAGUGUCAUGGUAUUCUUUAGGCUACUGCCUCGGCCCUAGCUCUAAAGAAAGAAGAGAAUAAAUUUGGCAGCAAGCCAGACAUGGAUUCAAACUCCAGUUCCACCUGAAUUUAAACCAGCUGCAUCGGGGCUGGGGGAGUGGCAUAAUAGCAGAGUGUUUGCCUAAACUAGCUAUGUCUCUGCUUUCCCAUCUGCAAAUUGAUGAAAACAAUAAUACCAACUUUAAUUGAAUCCUUACAGCAAUCAAUUGGAUCCUGCCCGAGUUGUAUUAGAGAAGGGACGAGGUUAUGAGCCGUGGAAUAG
Molecule: long non-coding RNA, 844 nt
Filed under: Heterocephalus glaber (naked mole-rat)
Lineage: Eukaryota; Metazoa; Chordata; Mammalia; Rodentia; Bathyergidae
Description: lncRNA (ENSHGLG00000034866.1)
Source: RNAcentral